This 253-nucleotide ribosomal RNA is filed under the name uncultured bacterium. RNAcentral's name for it is "partial 16S ribosomal RNA". It matches the Rfam family "Bacterial small subunit ribosomal RNA", at positions 524 to 776 of the family's 1533-position model. The record is from RNAcentral.
UACAGAGGUCCCAAGCGUUGUUCGGAUUCACUGGGCGUAAAGGGCGCGUAGGCGGCCCGUCAAGUCCCGUGUGAAAGCCCCCGGCUCAACCGGGGAACGGCGCGGGAAACUAGCAGGCUUGAGUUCGGGAGAGGGAAGCGGAAUUCCGGGUGUAGCGGUGAAAUGCGCAGAUAUCCGGAGGAACACCGGUGGCGAAGGCGGCUUCCUGGACCGACACUGACGCUGAGGCGCGAAAGCUAGGGGAGCAAACGGG